RNAcentral lists this ribosomal RNA (61 nucleotides) under Chitinophaga niabensis. Its description in RNAcentral is "partial 16S rRNA. Bacterial SSU". Lineage: Bacteria; Pseudomonadati; Bacteroidota; Chitinophagia; Chitinophagales; Chitinophagaceae. The record is from RNAcentral.
UUACAAUGGAGAGUUUGAUCCUGGCUCAGGAUGAACGCUAGCGGCAGGCCUAAUACAUGCA